This 1197-nucleotide ribosomal RNA is filed under the name human oral metagenome. RNAcentral's name for it is "bacterial LSU rRNA". It matches the Rfam family "Bacterial large subunit ribosomal RNA", at positions 1285 to 2487 of the family's 2925-position model. The record is from RNAcentral.
GAAGUGAGAAUGCCGGUAUGAGUAGCGAAAGACGGGUGAGAAUCCCGUCCACCGAAUAACUAAGGUUUCCUGGGGAAGGCUCGUCCUCCCAGGGUUAGUCGGGACCUAAGGCGAGGCCGAUAGGCGUAGUCGAUGGACAACAGGUUGAUAUUCCUGUACUUCUAUAAAUCGUUUGAGCAAUGGAGGGACGCAGGAGGCUAAGAAAAGCGUACGACUGGAAGUGUACGCCCAAGCAGUGAGUCGGCUGAUGAGUCAAAUGCUUAUCACGGAUGCGACAAGCUGUGACGGGGAGGGAAGUUUAGUACCGAAGUUUCUGAUGUCACACUGCCGAGAAAAGCUUCUAGCAAGAUUUAUAGGACCCGUACCGCAAACCGACACAGGUAGUUGAGGAGAGAAUCCUAAGGUGAGCGAGCGAACUCUCGUUAAGGAACUCGGCAAAAUGACCCCGUAACUUCGGGAGAAGGGGUGCUGACAGAGAUGUCAGCCGCAGUGAAUAGGCCCAGGCGACUGUUUAUCAAAAACACAGGUCUCUGCAAAAUCGAAAGAUGACGUAUAGGGGCUGACGCCUGCCCGGUGCUGGAAGGUUAAGAGGAGAGGUUAGCCGCAAGGCGAAGCUUUGAAUUGAAGCCCCAGUAAACGGCGGCCGUAACUAUAACGGUCCUAAGGUAGCGAAAUUCCUUGUCGGGUAAGUUCCGACCCGCACGAAAGGCGUAAUGAUUUGGGCACUGUCUCAACGAGAGACUCGGUGAAAUUUUAGUACCUGUGAAGAUGCAGGUUACCCGCGACAGGACGGAAAGACCCCAUGGAGCUUUACUGUAGUUUGAUAUUGAGUGUUUGUGUCACAUGUACAGGAUAGGUAGGAGCUGAAGAAUCCGGGACGCCAGUUUCGGAGGAGGCAACGGUGGGAUACUACCCUUGUGACAUGACCACUCUAACCCGCACCCCUUACCGGGGUGGGAGACAGUGUCAGACGGGCAGUUUGACUGGGGCGGUCGCCUCCUAAAAUGUAACGGAGGCGCCCAAAGGUUCCCUCAGAAUGGUUGGAAAUCAUUCGUAGAGUGUAAAGGCAGAAGGGAGCUUGACUGCGAGACCAACAAGUCGAGCAGGGACGAAAGUCGGGCUUAGUGAUCCGGUGGUACCGUAUGGAAGGGCCAUCGCUCAACGGAUAAAAGCUACCCUGGGGAUAACAGGCUUAUC